GCAUAUCAAUAAGCGGAGGAAAAGAAACCAACAGGGAUUGCCCCAGUAACGGCGAGUGAAGCGGCAACAGCUCAAAUUUGAAAUCUGGCCCUCGGGUCCGAAUUGUAAUUUGUAGAGGAUACUUUUGGCGAGGUGCCUUCCGAGUUCCCUGGAACGGGACGCCAUAGAGGGUGAGAGCCCCGUCUGGUCGGAUACCAAGCCUCUGUAAAGUUCCUUCGACGAGUCGAGUAGUUUGGGAAUGCUGCUCAAAAUGGGAGGUAUAUGUCUUCUAAAGCUAAAUAUUGGCCAGAGACCGAUAGCGCACAAGUAGAGUGAUCGAAAGAUGAAAAGCACUUUGAAAAGAGGGUUAAAAAGUACGUGAAAUUGUUGAAAGGGAAGCGCCUAUGACCAGACUUGGGCCCGGUGAAUCAUCCAGCGUUCUCGCUGGUGCACUUUGCCGGGCACAGGCCAGCAUCAGUUUGGCGCGGGGGAUAAAGGCUUUGGGAAUGUGGCUCCCUCGGGAGUGUUAUAGCCCAUUGCGUAAUACCCUGCGCCGGACUGAGGUACGCGCAUUGCAAGGAUGCUGGCGUAAUGGUCAUCAGCGACCC
Molecule: ribosomal RNA, 587 nt
Filed under: Aphanocladium album
Lineage: Eukaryota; Fungi; Ascomycota; Sordariomycetes; Hypocreales
Description: LSU rRNA
Rfam family: Eukaryotic large subunit ribosomal RNA
Source: RNAcentral